RNAcentral lists this long non-coding RNA (959 nucleotides) under Marmota monax (woodchuck). Lineage: Eukaryota; Metazoa; Chordata; Mammalia; Rodentia; Sciuridae. The record is from RNAcentral.
GCUGUGGAGUUCUCAUAAAAUUCAAAGGAUGAACAGGCCUUUAAGUCUCAAUUGCAUAAGCUGUGUCAGGAGACUCAGUUACAUUGUGAUGAACUUCUCCCUACUACACUUUUGAGGAUUAGAUCCAUGCCCAUUAGGAGGACUGGAUUCUCUCCUAUAAGAUAAUGUACGUGAGGCCCCCCUCUUAUUAGAGGACCAUUGGAAGACUUAAGAGAGAUAGGAGAAUUUACCUUGAGAUGACAGCUACAGGUCUUAGGGAAAACUUUACAGGUUCUCAACCAAUGGGUUAGAGAAAGUUUGCGACUAAGUUUAACCAAAGGUGCACACUCCUUCAAGCCUGGAGAGAGUCUUUUUUUUUUUUUCAUUUGAAAUGUGUGAAAAGGAGUCAACAAAAUGAAGGUUUAUUUUGAAAUAAAGUGGUAGUUACAUAAACAUUAAAUGAUUUCUUCACACACUGUACCUUUGAUUGUACAUAAUUAUUUUGUCAGUAUGUUUCCUCGGCUGAGAUUAUUGAUUCUGCAUCAAAGAAUGGAAUAACAAACACCCAAACUUCUUUGAAAGGGCCAUUCCCCUCUUUUUCUAUCCACCUCAACAAUAGUCAAGUAUGCAGAAAUAGGUCACUUGAUUGAUUACACCAGAAUCAAUCCUGCAGCUACGGACUGGGCGUUCACUCUAGAUGCUGCUAUGCCCUUGAAGCUGACUGUCUAGAAAAUGGAGCACCAGAGAAGCUUGAGGGUCAUAAGGACAGCAGCCCUGCUCCAGUCACUCUGGAAGAUGACUGGUGUAUACACAUCCGAAGCUUGAGGAGACUAUGGCCCUGCUUCAGCCACAUGGGAAAGACUGGCUGAUCAAUGCACCAUGAAAGAUAAACUUCCCACCAGGACUAAUGAACACUUUCAACCCCUACGAUAGAUCUUCUAAAAUGCAUUUCCAAUCCUUCCUUCUAGAUAUAUACACAA